This 212-nucleotide unclassified non-coding RNA is filed under the name soil metagenome. RNAcentral describes it as "partial contains 5.8S ribosomal RNA, internal transcribed spacer 2, and large subunit ribosomal RNA". The record is from RNAcentral.
AACAAGGCGUACCUGCGGACCUGCGGAGGGAUCAUUACAAGUGACCCCGGUCUAACCACCGGGAUGUUCAUAACCCUUUGUUGUCCGACUCUGUUGCCUCCGGGGCGACCCUGCCUUCGGGCGGGGGCUCCGGGUGGACACUUCAAACUCUUGCGUAACUUUGCAGUCUGAGUAAACUUAAUUAAUAAAUUAAAACUUUUAACAACGGAUCU